RNAcentral lists this ribosomal RNA (367 nucleotides) under Diphaltica sp. BMNH 704453. RNAcentral describes it as "eukaryotic LSU rRNA". Lineage: Eukaryota; Metazoa; Arthropoda; Insecta; Coleoptera; Chrysomelidae. The record is from RNAcentral.
GGUCGAAAGGGGAAAUUCAUUCGCGUUUCGACUGUCGAAGUUGAGCGUGUUUAUGACGGAUGGUAUUUAUAUUGUCCGCGUAUCACGUUCAUCGAGUCGGCGUCGAACGCGUGCACUUUUCCUCUAGUAGGACGUCGCGAUCCGUUGGGUGUCUGUCUAAGAGUUGAGGUGGAGACCACGGGGCUUUCGUCUUGUGGACCCUUGAUUUUCCGACAGACUCGCUCGACGGUAUAUUUAUGGCGCGGGGCCGCUACUCAGUUAGCGUUCGGCCCGUAGCAAGCGCGUUCCGUGUUUGACGGCGAUCGGACCUGGUGCCGAUUCUGUUCCGGAACGACUGUUGGUUACGGUGCUCUCGAACUGACCUCGA